RNAcentral lists this ribosomal RNA (230 nucleotides) under uncultured bacterium. Its description in RNAcentral is "partial 16S ribosomal RNA". It matches the Rfam family "Bacterial small subunit ribosomal RNA", at positions 563 to 791 of the family's 1533-position model. The record is from RNAcentral.
AAGCGUGCGCAGGCGGUUUUGUAAGACUGUCGUGAAAUCCCCGGGCCUCAACCUGGGAAUGGCGAUGGUGACUGCAAGGCUAGAGUUUGGCAGAGGGGGGUAGAAUUCCACGUGUAGCAGUGAAAUGCGUAGAUAUGUGGAGGAACACCGAUGGCGAAGGCAGCCCCCUGGGUCAAAACUGACGCUCAUGCACGAAAGCGUGGGGAGCAAACAGGAUUAGAUACCCGAGU